Sparus aurata (gilthead seabream) is the source of this 3552-nucleotide long non-coding RNA. Lineage: Eukaryota; Metazoa; Chordata; Actinopteri; Spariformes; Sparidae. The record is from Ensembl.
CCGAAAGGAACAACGGAAAACACGCUCACUGUCCUCUGGUGGGUAAAUCAGAAUCAUCCCCUGACGGUCAGAAAGAGCACAUGUAUUAACAGAAGAUUACCUGGUAGACUGAGAGCUUCUCUGAUAUCUGCUCCUCAGAAUCACCCCUCUCGUGCAUCUUGGGAAAUGAAGUCUCGAUGCCUUUUAGCAGGGAGUCUGACCAGGUGCUGUCCUGCUCCCACUGUGACCACAUCUGAGGCAGAGGAAGAGAUGUUAUAAGAACUAUUCUGUGAUUAUUAGUAAGUGAUAAUUCUCAGUCCUGAUGGUUUUGAGUAACUUCACCUGAUUUGUUCUUGAUAAAUAAACUGCACUCCAUGCACUACCUGUAGUUUCUCCUCCAUCCUGAUCCCUCUCUCCAGUCCGUGCUGCUGCAGUCGGGCCACCUCCCCCUGCAGGCCGGUCACUACACCCUCCCACCUCUGGAGGGCGCUCUCUGGGACUCUCUGGGUCAGGUACUGCAGGAUCUUAAAGUGCUGGCUCAGGAACUGGAAGAACUUCUAACAAUAAGAAGAGAAUGUCAUGAUUAGAAUGUUAUUUUCUUGAUUACAUGCAUCACAAAUGACUGUGAGCUGUGUUUCCUGUCUGACCGUGUGGCUGCUGAGCUGCUGCUGGAGCUGAGCUCUGCUGUGGAGCUCUGAGUCGGGCUGCUGUGUGAGACGUUCAGAGCCCAGAGCGAGCAGCUCCUGCAGGCUGAGGACCAGCCGCUCGUACUGCUGCUGCAGCUCCACGCUGCUCCUCAGAUCAUCAGCGUGGGACCGGACUCCACCCAGAGCACCAUCCAGCUCACCCUGCAGGGAGGAGACGGACAAUAUCAAGAUUUAAACAUGUUUGCGUGCAGUUUCCCUGCACGUGACAAAGAUACAGCAGCUAGCACACCUGCAGCUGUGUGGCCUGGUGGAGGACAGCAGCAGGCAGGUUGUGUCUGUCGGCCUCCUGCAGCAGGGAGCUCACCUGCUGCACCUGCUGCUGCAGAGACUCCUGCACCUGAACCACCGCCUGGAAGAAAAACACACACACACACUUUGACAGUUGAAAAACUUUGCGACUGCAUUUUAAUGCACUCGUCUGAACACGUUUACUUUUCUGGCUGUUCCUCAAGUUGCGUACAAGUGUUGGGUUUCGGAUCUGCUUCUCGGUGCUGCUCAGUGCAGUCAGAACCACAGGAAGCACUCUGCACACGUCAUCCACACACUGCUGACCGCACGCUGACCCCAGCACUCUGCUCACCUUUGACCCCUGAGAGGCCAGCUCACUGCGAAGCGUAGCCAGCUCUGCAGACAGACUCUGAAAAGGAAACCCCAAACACAAUGGCUGAUGGUGGAUUAGUGUUUGUUGGUGAGUCACACCUGCAGUUGCAGCAGCCUCAGCUGUGCUUCUUCCUCGUGUGUCACCCCGACAGGUGAGUCCAGCAGGGGGAUGAUGGAGGACAGAGACAGGGACGCGCCGUACAGCACAUGAAACAAACCCUCGUCCAGCGCCUGAUGGGAGCCGUCCACAGGAGACGCCUGGAGACAGAACGGUAGUCGAACUAUUAACACCACGACUGAGAAGGUUGACACAGAUUCAUGAUGCCUGUUUUUAACAACACGACUCAGGAGGAAGACGAUGAAGAGGGUGAGGUACGAGACACCUCUUCAGGUCGUGAACUUCCGGUCGUGACUACACGACCAGCAGCUAUCCAGGAGUCACAUCUCCCAACAUACACAUUCUGCCUGCACCUGAUCCCGGCUCUCGGCGGCCGUGUGUCCCAGCUCUCUCAGGUGGCUGAUGUGAGUUUGGAGCUCUUUCAGGGUUUGUGUGCCAAUCAUGCGUCCUGCUGUUCCAUCACUACGCCUCAGAGAUGAGUCUGUCACCUUCAGAGAGAGAGAGAGAGAGAGAGAAACACACAACUUUCAUCAAACCCUGCAGGAGUCCCCAUCACACCGAAGACACAACAAAGUGCCUUCGGCUCAAAGAAGGUGAUAAUCAAGCGCGGCGAGAACAGCGAUUUUCUCUCUUGUAUUUGAAGCGUGAUAAUCAAGCUCUUCAGCUGUCACGAUGAAGGUCUUACCUCGGAGGGAAGACGCAGCCAGCUCUCCUCCGCUCUCAGCAGCCGACUGUGGAGGCGAUCCCACUUCCUCUGAGCAGAGUCGGCCUCCACAUCAGGCUCAGCAGGAGGACGCCUGCAGGGAGACAAGAGGCUGAAAAUUAACUCCAUCUUUCUUUCUUUCCCUCUUUCUUGGAGGUAUACUUUUAAACUUAGUGUCGGUUUCUCUCUGGAAAUUGGAAAAUAAAUGAGGCUAACAUGUGUCAGUAAAUGGCAUUUCUUACUUUUUUAUUCUAUUUUAGCCUUAUUCUGUUAAAGAAAGUAAUACUCACAAUUUAACUCACUGAUUUUGAUUCAUCAGGAGUUAUAAAAACACAAAACUAUGAAGGACUUCAUGGAUGAAUUUGAAUAAAGGCACUGCAUUACCAUAAAAAUGUAAUAUAUCUUACAUGCAGUGAUAUUAAAAUGUACAAAAUGUGAUAUAAUAACAGAGUGGUGAUGCCGUACGUUACCUGUGUGACACCUGGUCCUCUGAGUCCUGGCUGUGGAGUCGAGCUCGGCUGCCCUGCCUGGCGAUGGCCUGAGUCAGUCCUCUCUGCUCAGUCAGCUGCUGCUCCAGCUCCUGAACAACACACACACACACACACACAGUUACAUCUACACAACGUGCACAACUUUAACAUACUCCUGUAAUAGAUUCCUAACAUGUAAGAUGCUUGAAUUCAUGGGAAGAAACACAUGGAUAGAUGAGGAGUUCUGAUGGUCUAAUAAAGCUCGACUGGGUUUGACGACCCUGCAGUGAAGCAGUCAGUCCGGUACCUUCUGCUGCUGCAGGCUGCUCUGCCGCAGGAGUUUGUUCCUCGGUGAGGAGAAGAUCUCCUGGACGCUGCUGCUGCGCUUCAACUUGGACUCCAGGUGGCGCUCUGGCUGAGGAACGGACUUCUGAGGCGGAGACAAAGAAGAGACAUGAAAAGGUUUAUUGGUGUCAGUUGCUGUGUCUCAAUUCAGGGUCUGCAUCCUUCAGAGGAGCAUUUGAAGGCCUCACAAAGGCUCCUCCAGAUGCUCCUUCUUUUCCCUGUUUCUGGAGGAUGCACCGCUACGAUCCUUCGUGACCUCACGUAUCCCAGGAUUCUUUGCGCGUCCGAAAAAGAAGAAAGAAGUAGAGAAAAUGGCGACAUCGAGUGGCGUAGAUCGUCACUUCUCGCGGGCCUGGGCUGCUGAAAUUGUGACGUAAGGGUAAAACAUCUGGUGACACAACCAGGAAAUGCUCCAAAGGCUAGACCGUCACAUUUAACAACGGCUGACGAGGUUAACAAGGUCUCUCUGAAGGACUCGCCUUCAAAGACCGCAAAGGCCGAGUCCUUCAGAGGAUGCAGACCCUGAACUGAGACACAGCACUUGUGACUUCGCUGCAGUAGUUUUCAUCAUCAGUGCAUAAAGUGGAGUUUGUUAUUGUGACUGCUUCAGAUAUCAUGUUUUCUUUUCCC